This 65-nucleotide transfer RNA is filed under the name Xenogryllus marmoratus. Its description in RNAcentral is "tRNA-Ile". The record is from RNAcentral. Lineage: Eukaryota; Metazoa; Arthropoda; Insecta; Orthoptera; Gryllidae.
AAUGAAAUGCCUGAUGAAAAGGGUUAUCUUGAUAGGAUAAAUCAUGCAAUCAAAUGCUUUCAUUA